RNAcentral lists this unclassified non-coding RNA (147 nucleotides) under Carex oreophila. Its description in RNAcentral is "partial internal transcriber spacer 1". The record is from RNAcentral. Lineage: Eukaryota; Viridiplantae; Streptophyta; Magnoliopsida; Poales; Cyperaceae.
CACACGUGACAGAAUGCUGCCGGGGAGGCGCUCGCUGCCUCCCCGGCCCCACCGGCCUCUUCCCACUCGCCCUGCGGGCGCGUCGGUCGCUGGCCGGAAUACGGCGCGGGCUGACGCCAAGGAACACGAGAGAGCCGACGCAACGGC